RNAcentral lists this ribosomal RNA (1737 nucleotides) under Triticum aestivum (bread wheat). Its description in RNAcentral is "partial small subunit ribosomal RNA". The record is from RNAcentral. Lineage: Eukaryota; Viridiplantae; Streptophyta; Magnoliopsida; Poales; Poaceae.
AUGGCGCUCGCGCGAACCGUCCCGCUCCCGCAGCUCGCUUCGGCCUCGUCCCUCCCCCGGCACCGCCGCUGCCGCCUCCUCCUCCCCGCAAUGUCGCAGGCGCGCGGCCCCCCCGCGCGAGGGAUCGCCUGCCGCGCCGCGACGACGACGCCGGCCGCGGUGGCGGCGGUGGGCGUCGGGGAGGACCUGCCCGAGGGCUACGAGCAGAUGAUGCCGACCGUGGAGGCCUCCCAGCGGCGGCGCGCGGGGGUCCUGCUGCACCCGACGUCGCUCCGCGGCCCGCACGGCAUCGGCGACCUCGGCGACCAGGCAAUCGCGUUCCUCGACUGGCUCCACGGCGCCGGCUGCACGCUCUGGCAGGUUCUUCCACUUGUUCCCCCGGGAAGAAAAUCCGGGGAGGAUGGUUCUCCUUAUUCAGGACAGGAUGCAAACUGCGGUAAUACACUAUUGAUUUCUCUUGAAGAGCUUGUUAAAGAUGGGCUGUUGAUGGAAAACGAACUUCCUGAUCCUUUAGAUAUGGAAUAUGUUGAAUUUGACACUGUUGCUAAUCUGAAAGAACCUCUUAUUGCCAAGGCAGCAGAGAGGCUCCUACAGAGCCCUGGAGAGCUCAGAAGGCAGUAUGACGAAUUCAAGAAAAAUCCAGAUGUUUCAGGUUGGCUUGAAGAUGCUGCACUUUUCGCUGCUAUCGACAAUAGCAUCAAUGCAGUGUCCUGGUCUGAGUGGCCUGAACCGCUGAAAGAUCGCCAUCCUGGAGCCUUGAAAGAUAUAUAUGAAAACCAGAAGGACUUUAUAGAAAAUUUUAUGGCACAACAGUUCUUAUUUGAAAAGCAAUGGAAACGGGUUCGUUCACAUGCUCAGAAGCUGGGCAUCAGCAUAAUGGGUGACAUGCCUAUAUAUGUUGGCUACCACAGCGCAGAUGUUUGGGCAAACAGGAAAUCAUUUUUGCUGGACAAGAAUGGUUUCCCUACAUUUGUUAGUGGCGUUCCCCCUGAUGCAUUCAGUAAAACUGGUCAGCUAUGGAACAGCCCAUUGUAUGACUGGAAAUCUAUGGAAGCAGAUGGCUUUGCAUGGUGGGUAAAGAGGAUUAAACGUGCCCUUGAUUUGUAUGAUGAGUUCCGUAUUGACCAUUUCCGGGGGCUUGCUGGUUUUUGGGCAGUUCCUUCGGGAUCAGAAGUAGCGAUGUUUGGAAGCUGGAGGGCUGGACCAAGGAAUGCCUUUUUUGAUGCGCUGUUCAAAGCUGUUGGUAGAAUAAAUAUAAUCGCUGAAGACCUGGGGGUGAUAACCGAAGAUGUUGUUGAGUUAAGGAAGUCUAUUGGGGCUCCAGGGAUGGCAGUUCUUCAGUUCGCUUUUGGCGGUGGUCCUGGCAACCCCCACUUACCUCAUAACCAUGAAUUGAACCAAGUUGUAUACACUGGGACACAUGAUAAUGAUACAGCUGUUGGCUGGUGGCAAAGUUUACCAGAGGAAGAGAAGCAAACUGUGUUCAAGUAUCUACCGCAGGUCAGCAACUUGGAUGUCUCUUGGGCGCUAAUUGCUACUGCUCUCUCUUCCGUUGCAAGGACUUCCAUGGUAACCAUGCAGGACAUACUCAGCCUUGGCAGCUCUGCUAGGAUGAACACUCCAGCUACACAGAAAGGAAAUUGGAAAUGGAGGAUACCAAGCUGUGUCAGCUUCGACAGCCUUAGCCUCGAAGAAGCAAAGCUGAAGGAGUUGCUUACGCUGUACGGCCGGCUGUGA